AUACGGAGGGUGCAAGCGUUAAUCGGAAUUACUGGGCGUAAAGCGCACGCAGGGGGAUUGAUUAGACAGGAUCGAAAUCCCCAGGCUCAAACUGGGGACUGCAUCUGAUACUGGGCAGCUUGCGGCACGCAGAGGGGGGUAGAAUUCCAGGUGUAUCGGUGAACUGCGUAGAGAUCUGGAGGAAUACCGGUGGCGAAGGCGGCCCCCUGGACGAAGACUGACGCUCAGGUGCGAAAGCGUGGGGAGCAAACAGGAUUAGAUACCCUGGUAGUCCACGCCGUAAACGAUGUCGACUUGGAGGUUGUGCCCUUGAGGCGUGGCUUCCGGAGCUAACGCGUUAAGUCGACCGCCUGGGGAGUACGUCCGCAAGGUUAAAACUCAAAUGAAUUGACGGGG
Molecule: ribosomal RNA, 396 nt
Filed under: uncultured bacterium
Lineage: Bacteria
Description: partial 16S ribosomal RNA
Rfam family: Bacterial small subunit ribosomal RNA
Source: RNAcentral